UGGAUUAGGCAUGCAAGUCGAACGAGAGCUUGUGUUGUAGCAAUACUAUACGAGCAAAAGUGGCGAAAGGGUGAGUAACACGUGGGUAACCUACCUCUAAGUUGGGGAUAACACCGGGAAACUGGUGCUAAUACCGGAUGUGGUUGCUGUUCGCAUGAACGGCGUACUGAAGCCGGGGAUUCUUCGGAACCUGGCGCUUGGAGAUGGGCCCGCGUACCAUCAGCUAGUUGGUGAGGUAACGGCCCACCAAGGCUUACGGUUAGCUGGUCUGAGAGGACGACCAGCCACAUUGGGACUGAGAUACUGCCCAGACUCCUACGGGAGGCUGCAGUCGAGGAUCUUUUGCAAUGGGCGCAAGCCUGACAAAGCGACGCUGCGUGGAGGAUGAAGGCCUUCGGGUUGUAAACUCC
Molecule: ribosomal RNA, 410 nt
Filed under: uncultured organism
Description: bacterial SSU rRNA
Rfam family: Bacterial small subunit ribosomal RNA
Source: RNAcentral